This 894-nucleotide ribosomal RNA is filed under the name uncultured bacterium. RNAcentral describes it as "bacterial SSU rRNA". It matches the Rfam family "Bacterial small subunit ribosomal RNA", at positions 28 to 920 of the family's 1533-position model. The record is from RNAcentral.
GAUGAACGCUGGCGGCGUGCCUAAUACAUGCAAGUCGAACGAAUCUCUUUUAGAGAUGAGUGGCGAACGGGUGAGUAAUACAUAGGUAACCUGCCCCUGUGCGGGGGAUAACAGGAGGAAACUCCUGCUAAUACCGCAUAGCCAUGAGCACCGCAUGGAGCUCAUGCCAAAUAUCCUUUAUGGGAUAGCGCAGGGAUGGACCUAUGGCGCAUUAGCUGGUUGGCGGGGCAACGGCCCACCAAGGCAACGAUGCGUAGCCGGCCUGAGAGGGCGGACGGCCACAUUGGGACUGAGACACGGCCCAGACUCCUACGGGAGGCAGCAGUAGGGAAUUUUCGGCAAUGGGGGAAACCCUGACCGAGCAACGCCGCGUGAGCGAAGAAGGCCUUCGGGUCGUAAAGCUCUGUUGUAAAGGAAGAACGGCGCAUACAGGAAAUGGUAUGCGAGUGACGGUACUUUACCAGAAAGCCACGGCUAACUACGUGCCAGCAGCCGCGGUAAUACGUAGGUGGCGAGCGUUAUCCGGAAUCAUUGGGCGUAAAGAGGGAGCAGGCGGCCGCAAGGGUCUGUGGUGAAAGACCGAAGCUAAACUUCGGUAAGCCAUGGAAACCGGGCGGCUAGAGUGCGGAAGAGGAUCGUGGAAUUCCAUGUGUAGCGGUGAAAUGCGUAGAUAUAUGGAGGAACACCAGUGGCGAAGGCGACGGUCUGGGCCGCAACUGACGCUCAUUCCCGAAAGCGUGGGGAGCAAAUAGGAUUAGAUACCCUAGUAGUCCACGCCGUAAACGAUGGUCACUAAGUGUCGGGGGUCAAACCCCGGUGCUGCAGUCAACGCAAUAAGUGACCCGCCUGAGUAGUACGUUCGCAAGAAUGAAACUCAAAGGAAUUGACGGAAGG